UGAGGAAUCUUGCGCAAUGGGCGAAAGCCUGACGCAGCGACGCCGCGUGAGGGAUGAAGGCCUUCGGGUCGUAAACCUCUGUCAGGGGGGAAGAACCCCCAGUCGGUGAAUAACCGGCCGGGCUGACGGUACCCCCAGAGGAAGCACCGGCUAACUCCGUGCCAGCAGCCGCGGUAAGACGGAGGGUGCAAACGUUGUUCGGAAUCACUGGGCGUAAAGGGCGCGUAGGCGGACCUGUAAGUCGGGAGUGAAAACUCGGGGCUCAACCCCGAGCCUGCUUCUGAAACUGCGGGUCUUGAGGACCGGAGAGGAGAGUGGAAUUCCUGGUGUAGCGGUGGAAUGCGUAGAUAUCAGGAAGAACACCGGCGGCGAAGGCGGCUCUCUGGACGGUUCCUGACGCUGAGGCGCGAAAGCUGGGGGAGCAAACAGG
RNAcentral lists this ribosomal RNA (430 nucleotides) under Bacillota bacterium. RNAcentral describes it as "Firmicutes bacterium partial 16S ribosomal RNA". It matches the Rfam family "Bacterial small subunit ribosomal RNA", at positions 355 to 776 of the family's 1533-position model. Lineage: Bacteria; Bacillati; Bacillota. The record is from RNAcentral.